GGAGGGUGUAGCUCAGUGGUAGAGCGUAUGCUUAGCAUGUAUGAGGCCCUGGGUUCAAUCCCCAGUACCUCCA
RNAcentral lists this transfer RNA (73 nucleotides) under Vicugna pacos (alpaca). RNAcentral's name for it is "tRNA-Ala (AGC) (tRNA-Ala-AGC-391-1)". It matches the Rfam family "tRNA". Rfam says of the family: Transfer RNA (tRNA) molecules are approximately 80 nucleotides in length. Their secondary structure includes four short double-helical elements and three loops (D, anti-codon, and T loops). The record is from RNAcentral. Lineage: Eukaryota; Metazoa; Chordata; Mammalia; Artiodactyla; Camelidae.